Molecule: ribosomal RNA, 393 nt
Filed under: uncultured bacterium
Lineage: Bacteria
Description: partial 16S ribosomal RNA
Rfam family: Bacterial small subunit ribosomal RNA
Source: RNAcentral
AUACGGAGGAUGCAAGCGUUAUCCGGAUUUAUUGGGUUUAAAGGGUGCGUAGGCGGUUUGCUAAGCGGGAGGUGAAAUGCCGGCGCUCAACGUCGGAAGUGCCUCCCGAACUGGUGGACUUGAAUGACUCUGCCGUGGGCGGAAUGUGUAGUGGAGCGGUGAAAUGCUUAGAGAUUACACAGAACACCGAUUGCGAAGGCAUCUCACGAAGGGUUGAUUGACGCUGAGGCACGAAAGCGUGGGGAUCAAACAGGAUUAGAUACCCUGGUAGUCCACGCAGUAAACGAUGAUGGCUAACCGCUGGGCUUAUCAGUUCAGUGGCCAAGCGAAAGCGAUAAGCCAUCCACCUGGGGAGUACGACCGCAAGGUUGAAACUCAAAUGAAUUGACGGGG